Long non-coding RNA from Oncorhynchus masou masou (cherry salmon), 2048 nucleotides. RefSeq lists it as uncharacterized. The record is from RefSeq and is a predicted model, not a curated record. The transcript is spliced from 9 exons. NCBI's taxonomy places the organism in Eukaryota, Metazoa, Chordata, Actinopteri, Salmoniformes, Salmonidae.
GAGUAUCCCAGUGGUUGACAAUGCCAGGAACAAGCGUCAGAGGAACCCUCGCGAUGAGAAACUCACCUCUAUACCAGACAGCUUCUUCUUCAAACACCUGACCACAGGAGACAAGCACACCACGUGUACCCACUGCAGGGGGUGUCUGACUCAGUUAGUGGACAGACGGUGGUGGACCCUAAAGGUUACCUCAACUCUAUGAUCCCCACACACGGAGGAGACAUCAGGGGAGUAGCCCCGGAGAAUAAGCACACACACACACACAUUUGGACACACAUUUGUUGCGUAUCUGUAUCUCUGUCUGUAUUGUUGAUCGUCUUUUUGUGUGUGUUUGUGUGUGUGUGUGUAUUGACAUUAAGAGCCCCCCCACACCACCACCACCACCUGGAUCACAUUGGCCAGGCUAGAGGGGGUGACUGGUAAACUACAGAUGACCAGGAACCUCAUCAUGAAGGGCAUCGAUAUGUGUCCCAAGAGUGAGGAUGUGUGGCUGGAGUCUGCCAGGCUGGAGCUAAGGGAUACGGCCAAGGCCGUGGUGGUCUAGGUGUUGUGUCACCUCCCCACGUCUGUACGCAUCUACAUCAGAGCUGCUGUGCUGGUGACCGAUGUCAGAGCCAAGAAACGUGUCCUCAGGAAGGGCCUCUUCACUCAAGUGGCUCCACCAUCCCACUGGCCUGCACGACUGUACUAGGCAUGGGUCACAAGUUCUCUCUUUUCUUCACUAGGCUCAACAGUGAGCACUAUUACCAUCAGGUAAUGUAUUCUUGGGUUGAGUGUGACAAGGCAGGCAACGUGCCAGGCGGUGACCCGGGCGAUAAUUGGUAUCGGCAUCGAGGAGAGCUGUAAACACACCUGGAUGGAGGACGCAGAGAGUUGUGUGUCCCAUGGGUACUGGAGUGUGCCCGUGCCAUCUAUGCCCACACCCUGCAGAUGUUCCUCAGAAAAAUGAGUGUGUGGCUCAGGUCAUCUUACUUCGAAAAGAACCAUGGCACCAGGGAGUCUCUGGAGGCUGCAGAGGGUGGUGGCUCACUGUCCUGUGGCUGUUGGGGACCAAGGGUGGUGGCUCACUGUCCAAGUGGCUGGCUGAGAACGUGCCUGCUGCUUGCAGCAUUCUGGCUCUGGCCUUACAGCUUGCUAGCUUGAGCUAACCCUAACAGUGAAGAGAUAUGGUUGGCUGCUGUGAAGCUGGAGUCUGAGAAUAAUGAAAAUGAAGCCCGUCUGGCCAAGGUUGUAGCAGUGCUCCUACUUCCAGGCUUUAUGCGACCUCACGGCACCAUGGCAACCACGGUUGGAGUUUGUGAGACUGGAGUUCAGGACAUGGCUGAAGAACAUCGCCAACACACUGAUGGCUAAAGCCCUACAGGAGUGCCCCAGCAGGUAUAUUGUGGGCUGAGGCAGUGUUUUUUGAGGGCCUGCCACAGAGGAAGACGAAGAGUGUUGAUGCUCUGAUGAAGUGUGAACACAUCCUGCACGACAUUGCCAAGAACGACACACAUUAUUUUUCUCUCUCAAAAUCUCCCCUUCUCUUGCCUCUACUUUUCACUGUUAUACUUAUGACAUCCUUCCCGUUUUGUACUAUCUCAGUAGGUCAAACUCUCCCCCUCUCUGCUUACAUUCCUUCAGGAGAACAAACUCUCCCCCUCUCUGCUUUCAUUCCUUCAGGAGAACAAAUUCUCACCUAUCUCUGCAUUAAUUUCUUCAGUAGGUCAAACUCUCCCCCUCUCUGCUUUCAUUCCUUCAAUAGGUCAAACUCUCCCUCUCUCUGCUUUCAUUUCUUCAGUAGGUCAAACUCUCCCUCUCUCUGCUUUCAUUUCUUCAGUAGGUCAAACUCUCCCUCUCUCUGCUUUCAUUUCUUCAGUAGGUCAAGCUCUCUCUCUCUCUGCUUUCAUUCAUUCAGGAGGACAAACUCUCCCUCUCUCUGCUUUCAUUUCUUCAGUAGGUCAAAAUCUGUCUCUCUCUGCUUUCAUUCCUUCAGUAAGUCAAACUCUCCCCCUCUCUGCUUUCAUUUCUUCAGUAGGUCAAACUCUCUCUCUCUGCUUUAAUUUCUU